UUGGGCGUUAAGUUGCAGGGUAUAGACCCGAAACCCGGUGAUCUAGCCAUGGGCAGGUUGAAGGUUGGGUAACACUAACUGGAGGACCGAACCGACUAAUGUUGAAAAAUUAGCGGAUGACCUGUGGCUGGGGGUGAAAGGCCAAUCAAACCGGGAGAUAGCUGGUUCUCCCCGAAAGCUAUUUAGGUAGCGCCUCGUGAAUUCAUCUCCGGGGGUAGAGCACUGUUUCGGCUAGGGGGCCAUCCCGGCUUACCAACCCGAUGCAAACUGCGAAUACCGGAGAAUGUUAUCACGGGAGACACACGGCGGGUGCUAACGUCCGUCGUGAAGAGGGAAACAACCCAGACCGCCAGCUAAGGUCCCAAAGUCAUGGUUAAGUGGGAAACGAUGUGGGAAGGCCCAGACAGCCAGGAUGUUGGCUUAGAAGCAGCCAUCAUUUAAAGAAAGCGUAAUAGCUCACUGGUCGAGUCGGCCUGCGCGGAAGAUGUAACGGGGCUAAACCAUGCACCGAAGCUGCGGCAGCGACACUGUGUGUUGUUGGGUAGGGGAGCGUUCUGUAAGCCUGUGAAGGUGUGUCGUGAGGCAUGCUGGAGGUAUCAGAAGUGCGAAUGCUGACAUAAGUAACGAUAAAGCGGGUGAAAAGCCCGCUCGCCGGAAGACCAAGGGUUCCUGUCCAACGUUAAUCGGGGCAGGGUGAGUCGACCCCUAAGGCGAGGCCGAAAGGCGUAGUCGAUGGGAAACGGGUUAAUAUUCCCGUACUUGGUGUUACUGCGAAGGGGGGACGGAGAAGGCUAUGUUGGCCGGGCGACGGUUGUCCCGGUUUAAGCGUGUAGGCUGGUUUUCCAGGCAAAUCCGGAAAAUCAAGGCUGAGGCGUGAUGACGAGGCACUACGGUGCUGAAGCAACAAAUGCCCUGCUUCCAGGAAAAGCCUCUAAGCAUCAGGUAACAUCAAAUCGUACCCCAAACCGACACAGGUGGUCAGGUAGAGAAUACCAAGGCGCUUGAGAGAACUCGGGUGAAGGAACUAGGCAAAAUGGUGCCGUAACUUCGGGAGAAGGCACGCUGACACGUAGGUGAAGUGAUUUACUCAUGGAGCUGAAGUCAGUCGAAGAUACCAGCUGGCUGCAACUGUUUAUUAAAAACACAGCACUGUGCAAACACGAAAGUGGACGUAUACGGUGUGACGCCUGCCCGGUGCCGGAAGGUUAAUUGAUGGGGUCAGCGCAAGCGAAGCUCCUGAUCGAAGCCCCGGUAAACGGCGGCCGUAACUAUAACGGUCCUAAGGUAGCGAAAUUCCUUGUCGGGUAAGUUCCGACCUGCACGAAUGGCGUAAUGAUGGCCAGGCUGUCUCCACCCGAGACUCAGUGAAAUUGAACUCGCUGUGAAGAUGCAGUGUACCCGCGGCAAGACGGAAAGACCCCGUGAACCUUUACUAUAGCUUGACACUGAACAUUGAGCCUUGAUGUGUAGGAUAGGUGGGAGGCUUUGAAGUGUGGACGCCAGUCUGCAUGGAGCCGACCUUGAAAUACCACCCUUUAAUGUUUGAUGUUCUAACGUGGACCCGUUACCCGGGUUGCGGACAGUGUCUGGUGGGUAGUUUGACUGGGGCGGUCUCCUCCUAAAGAGUAACGGAGGAGCACGAAGGUUGGCUAAUCCUGGUCGGACAUCAGGAGGUUAGUGCAAUGGCAUAAGCCAGCUUGACUGCGAGCGUGACGGCGCGAGCAGGUGCGAAAGCAGGUCAUAGUGAUCCGGUGGUUCUGAAUGGAAGGGCCAUCGCUCAACGGAUAAAAGGUACUCCGGGGAUAACAGGCUGAUACCGCCCAAGAGUUCAUAUCGACGGCGGUGUUUGGCACCUCGAUGUCGGCUCAUCACAUCCUGGGGCUGAAGUAGGUCCCAAGGGUAUGGCUGUUCGCCAUUUAAAGUGGUACGCGAGCUGGGUUUAGAACGUCGUGAGACAGUUCGGUCCCUAUCUGCCGUGGGCGCUGGAGAACUGAGGGGGGCUGCUCCUAGUACGAGAGGACCGGAGUGGACGCAUCACUGGUGUUCGGGUUGUCAUGCCAAUGGCACUGCCCGGUAGCUAAAUGCGGAAGAGAUAAGUGCUGAAAGCAUCUAAGCACGAAACUUGCCCCGA
Molecule: ribosomal RNA, 2131 nt
Filed under: Salmonella enterica
Lineage: Bacteria; Pseudomonadati; Pseudomonadota; Gammaproteobacteria; Enterobacterales; Enterobacteriaceae
Description: partial 23S ribosomal RNA
Rfam family: Bacterial large subunit ribosomal RNA
Source: RNAcentral